GACGAACGCUGGCGGCGUGCCUAAUACAUGCGAGUUGAGCGCUGAAGGUUGGUACUUGUACCCACUGGAUGUUCAGCGCACGGGUGAGUAACGUGUGUGGACUCUGCCUUUGAGCGGGGGACAACAUUGGGAAACGAAUGCUAAUACCGCAUUAGAACUUUAAACACAAGUUUUAAGUUUAAAAUAUGCAAUUGCCUCACUCAGAGGUGAUUCCGCGUUGUAUUAGCUAGUUGGUGAGGUAAAGGCUCACCAAGGCGAUGAUACAUAGCCGACCUGAGAGGGUGAUCGGCCACAUUGGGACUGAGACACGGCCCAAACUCCUACGGGAGGCAGCAGUAGGGAAUCUUCGGCAAUGGACGGAAGUCUGACCGAGCAACGCCGCGUGAGUGAAGAAGGGUUUCGGAUCGUAAAACUCUGUUGGUAGAGAAGAACGUUGGUGAGAGUGGAAAGCUCAUCAAGUGACGGUAACUAACCAGAAAGGGACGGCUAACUACGUG
Molecule: ribosomal RNA, 497 nt
Filed under: uncultured bacterium
Lineage: Bacteria
Description: partial 16S ribosomal RNA
Rfam family: Bacterial small subunit ribosomal RNA
Source: RNAcentral